Molecule: ribosomal RNA, 468 nt
Filed under: uncultured bacterium
Lineage: Bacteria
Description: partial 16S ribosomal RNA
Rfam family: Bacterial small subunit ribosomal RNA
Source: RNAcentral
GACGAACGCUGGCGGCGUGCUUAACACAUGCAAGUCGAACGGAAAGGCCCUGCUUUUGUGGGGUGCUCGAGUGGCGAACGGGUGAGUAACACGUGAGUAACCUGCCCUUGACUUUGGGAUAACUUCAGGAAACUGGGGCUAAUACCGGAUAGGAGCUCCUGCUGCAUGGUGGGGGUUGGAAAGUUUCGGCGGUUGGGGAUGGACUCGCGGCUUAUCAGCUUGUUGGUGGGGUAGUGGCUUACCAAGGCUUUGACGGGUAGCCGGCCUGAGAGGGUGACCGGCCACAUUGGGACUGAGAUACGGCCCAGACUCCUACGGGAGGCAGCAGUGGGGAAUAUUGCACAAUGGGCGGAAGCCUGAUGCAGCAGCGCCGCGUGCGGGAUGACGGCCUUCGGGUUGUAAACCGCUUUCGCCUAUGACGAAGCGUGAGUGACGGUAAUGGGUAAAGAAGCACCGGCUAACUACGUG